Molecule: ribosomal RNA, 497 nt
Filed under: uncultured bacterium
Lineage: Bacteria
Description: partial 16S ribosomal RNA
Rfam family: Bacterial small subunit ribosomal RNA
Source: RNAcentral
GAUGAACGCUGGCGGCGUGCCUAAUACAUGCAAGUCGAGCGAACAGACGAGGAGCUUGCUCCUCUGACGUUAGCGGCGGACGGGUGAGUAACACGUGGAUAACCUACCUAUAAGACUGGGAUAACUUCGGGAAACCGGAGCUAAUACCGGAUAAUAUAUUGAACCGCAUGGUUCAAUAGUGAAAGACGGUUUUGCUGUCACUUAUAGAUGGAUCCGCGCCGCAUUAGCUAGUUGGUAAGGUAACGGCUUACCAAGGCAACGAUGCGUAACCGACCUGAGAGGGUGAUCGGCCACACUGGAACUGAGACACGGUCCAGACUCCUACGGGAGGCAGCAGUAGGGAAUCUUCCGCAAUGGGCGAAAGCCUGACGGAGCAACGCCGCGUGAGUGAUGAAGGUCUUCAGAUCGUAAAACUCUGUUAUUAGGGAAGAACAAAUGUGUAAGUAACUAUGCACGUCUUGACGGUACCUAAUCAGAAAGCCACGGCUAACUACGUG